AAUGCGGGCCGGGCCCCUCUGGCGUCGGCGGGAUAUUUCCCGCCACGUGAUGUCGGACCGCAUCG
Sphingopyxis sp. LC81 is the source of this 65-nucleotide non-coding RNA. Lineage: Bacteria; Pseudomonadati; Pseudomonadota; Alphaproteobacteria; Sphingomonadales; Sphingopyxidaceae. The record is from Rfam.